This 72-nucleotide transfer RNA is filed under the name Balaenoptera acutorostrata scammoni. RNAcentral's name for it is "tRNA-Ala (CGC) (tRNA-Ala-CGC-5-1)". It matches the Rfam family "tRNA". Rfam says of the family: Transfer RNA (tRNA) molecules are approximately 80 nucleotides in length. Their secondary structure includes four short double-helical elements and three loops (D, anti-codon, and T loops). The record is from RNAcentral. Lineage: Eukaryota; Metazoa; Chordata; Mammalia; Artiodactyla; Balaenopteridae.
GGGGGUGUAGCUCAGUGGUAGAGCACGUGCUUCGCGUGCACGAGGUCCCAGGUUCAACUCCCGGCUCCUCCA